GGAAAGUGGAGGCAGGGGGAUCUCUGAGAGUGAGCUCCUGUCGUCUCAAUGCGCAAACAAUAAUCAAGUUUAAAAGCAAAAUCCUUUGCUGGUUUUAAAGGGUUAUUUAUUAUUAAGCCCGAGAGUUUUCUUUAAAAAAAAAAAUAAUCAAAAUAUAUCGUCUUCGCUUGCUCGCCCUCUUCACCUGUGACCGGGUCUUCAUUCUUUCAGCAGUGACUCCUAAAGGACAGAGUGGAGUGGAAACUUAAGGGUUCCUUGGAAAGUCAGUUGUGCUGGAUGCGUGAAAAGACCUGUGAGGAAGAAUUCUUCACUAACAACACACAUGUGUCGGUCUGCCUUACACUGUGCAGUUAGUCGAGCUCCAUUUGUUGGGACUCCAUAGAGAAAAACACAGAACCCGUGCUGAGGCAAGACACAUGCGUCACGUGGCCCUGAACAAAGGCGGUGAACUUUAUCCGGCAGUAACCUAAUCUCCUGGAUCGUUUACCAACAACACUCAGAGUGAUCUCCGGGAUUACCUUGGGCUUUGGCCAGCACCAGGGAGACUGGGCUGAACAGAAGGAAACUCCGUUCACAAAGAGAUACAACAGGAACCGUGGAGGAGCUGUUGGCUGGCACUCAGCUAGCUUUCUUACAAGGUUUAGGACCAUCUGCCUGGGGGAUGGUGUUAUCUACACAGUAGAUUGGGCCAGUCUACCUCAGUGAACAGUCCCUGCCCCAGACGUGCCCAGAGGCCGUUAUGAGAAGCAGUUCCUUGAUUGAACUCUCUUCCCAGAUAAAUACUAGUUUCUGUCAAUUUGACAGUUAAAGCUGAGUAACUAAGAUGAGCUCAUUUAUGUACGUAUAGACAGUUUCUCAGUAUAGCCCGGGCUAUACCGAGCUCACUGUGUGACUGGAGAUAAUUUUGACCUUCUAAUCCUACUGCCUCCACCUCCCAAGUGCUGGGAUUGCAGGCUCGUGCCGCCAUGGUUGGUUUAUACAGUACUGGGAAUCCAAUCCAGGGCUUCAUGCGUUCUAGCAAGUAAUCCACUAAAGAAACCAUCCUCAGCCUGAGAACGCUUAUAAAUGAGAGAGACUCAGCUUAGGGCAGUUUCUGGCUCUGUGUGGACCACGUUCUCUCCUAGCGUCAGAGCUUUCCUCAGAGUUCUGUGAGAGCAGUGUUAACUGUGGACAGUCCUGGACUCACAUCACCCCAGUUUGUUGCCUCAGAAGACAAAACUCUCCCAGGAUCUUGAGAUGGAUCGAGAUUGAGAGUCCUGAGUUCAGAGCUCUUAAUGGAACGGGCAAAGUUCUAAGGAGAGAAGCUAUGGAGAUGGGGAAAGGAAACUCAGGUGGAGCAGAGAUGGAGGCACAAGCCAAGGCCUCUGUGAGUCACCAGAAGCAGGGGCAGGACCAGCCUUGGUAACGCUGUGAUUUAGGACAGCCGACAAUCCCAACAUGUGUUAAUUCUAAUACAUUUCUGUCUUUUGAAGCAGUCCUGUUAGGAUCAGUUGGUUAUGGCGGCCCCAGGAGAUGAAUGUAUGAGGACCCAGGUUCAAUUUCCAGCACAAUGUGGCAACUUAAAAGUGUAACUCCAGUCCCAGAGGAGCUGAUGCUUCCUUCUGACCUCAGGGGCCACCGGCAUGAAAGCGUAGGCAAAAGCACCCAUGCACAUAAAAGUAAGUAACUCUCCUGCUUCAGCCAAACAAUGAGUACGCAUCCCUGCCUCUAGAGUGAGUCUCAAGCCCACUGUGUCCUGCUCCUUGGUUACCAGUUUCUUCCGCAUACAUGGCACAAUGGCACCCACCGGGGAGUGUUUUCCUUCCUGACUGUGAAAGGGGACCACUCACAGUGGCCAGCUUCUCCCCACCUCUAGUCUUCCAGCCAGCUUCUCCCCACCUCUAUCUUCUUCUAGCCAGCUUCUCCCUACCUCUAUCUUCUUCCAGCCAGCUUCUCCCCACCUCUAUCUUCUUCCAGCUAGCUUCUCCCUACCUCUAUCUUCUUCCAGCCAGCUUCUCCCCACCCCUAUCUUCUUCCAGCCAGCUUCUCCCCACCUCUAGUCUUCCAGCCAGCUUCUCCCCACCUCUAUCUUCUUCCAGCCAGCUUCUCCCUACCUCUAGUCUUCCAGCCAGCUUCUCCCUACCUCUAUCUUCUUCCAGCCAGCUUCUCCCUACCUCUAGUCUUCCAGCCAGCUUCUCCCUACCUCUAGUCUUCCAGCCAGCUUCUCCCCACCCCUGUCUAUUUCCAGCCAGCUUCUCCCUACCUCUAGUCUUCCAGCCAGCUUCUCCCCACCUCUAGUUUUCCAGCCAGCUUCUCCCCACCCCUAUCUUCUUCCAGCUAGCUUCUCCCUACCUCUAGUCUUCCAGCCAGCUUCUCCCUACCUCUAUCUUCUUCCAGCCAGCUUCUCCCUACCUCUAGUCUUCCAGCCAGCUUCUCCCCACCCCUGUCUUCUUCCAGCUAGCUUCUCCCCACCUCUAUCUUCUUCCAGCCAGCUUCUCCCCACCCCUAUCUUCUUCCAGCCAGCUUCUCCCCACCGCUAGUCUUCCAGCCAGCUUCUCCCCACCUCUAUCUUCUUCUAGCCAGCUUCUCCCCACCUCUAUCUUCUUCCAGCCAGCUUCUCCCUACCUCUAUCUUCUUCCAGCCAGCUUCUCCCUACCUCUAUCUUCUUCCAGCCAGCUUCUCCCCACCCCUGUCUAUUUCCAGCCAGCUUCUCCCCACCCCUGUCUAUUUCCAGCCAGCUUCUCCCUACCUCUAGUCUUCCAGCCAGCUUCUCCCCACCUCUAGUUUUCCAGCCAGCUUCUCCCCACCCCUAUCUUCUUCCAGCUAGCUUCUCCCUACCUCUAGUCUUCCAGCCAGCUUCUCCCCACCCCUGUCUUCUUCCAGCCAGCUUCUCCCUACCUCUAGUCUUCCAGCCAGCUUCUCCCCACCUCUAGUCUUCCAGCCAGCUUCUCCCCACCCCUGUCUUCUUCCAGCUAGCUUCUCCCCACCUCUAGUCUUCCAGCCAGCUUCUCCCCACCUCUAGUCUUCUUCCAGCCAGAUUCUCCCCACCUCUAC
This 3033-nucleotide small RNA is filed under the name Rattus norvegicus (Norway rat). RNAcentral's name for it is "uncharacterized LOC102555670". Lineage: Eukaryota; Metazoa; Chordata; Mammalia; Rodentia; Muridae. The record is from RNAcentral.